Molecule: ribosomal RNA, 443 nt
Filed under: uncultured bacterium
Lineage: Bacteria
Description: partial 16S ribosomal RNA
Rfam family: Bacterial small subunit ribosomal RNA
Source: RNAcentral
CCUACGGGAGGCUGCAGUGGGGAAUAUUGGGCAAUGGGCGCAAGCCUGACCCAGCAACGCCGCGUGAAGGAAGAAGGCUUUCGGGUUGUAAACUUCUUUUCUCAGGGACGAAGCAAGUGACGGUACCUGCGGAAUAAGCCACGGCUAACUACGUGCCAGCAGCCGCGGUAAUACGUAGGUGGCAAGCGUUAUCCGGAUUUACUGGGUGUAAAGGGCGUGUAGGCGGGACUGCAAGUCAGAUGUGAAAACCAUGGGCUCAACCUAUGGACUGCAUUUGAAACUGUAGUUCUUGAGUACUGGAGAGGUAGACGGAAUUCCUAGUGUAGCGGUGAAAUGCGUAGAUAUUAGGAGGAACACCAGUGGCGAAGGCGGUCUGCUGGACAGCAACUGACGCUGAGGCGCGAAAGCGUGGGGAGCAAACAGGAUUAGAUACCCCUGUAGUC